AACAGGAUUAGAUACCCUGGUAGUCCACGCCCUAAACGAUGUCAAUUAGCUGUUGGGCAACUUGAUUGCUUAGUAGCGUAGCUAACGCGUGAAAUUGACCGCCUGGGGAGUACGGUCGCAAGAUUAAAACUCAAAGGAAUUGACGGGGACCCGCACAAGCGGUGGAUGAUGUGGAUUAAUUCGAUGCAACGCGAAGAACCUUACCUGGUCUUGACAUGUACGGAAUCCUCCAGAGAUGGAGGAGUGCCUUCGGGAGCUGUAACACAGGUGCUGCAUGGCUGUCGUCAGCUCGUGUCGUGAGAUGUUGGGUUAAGUCCCGCAACGAGCGCAACCCUUGUCAUUAGUUGCCAUCAUUUAGUUGGGCACUCUAAUGAGACUGCCGGUGACAAGCCGGAGGAAGGUGGGGAUGACGUCAAGUCCUCAUGGCCCUUAUGACCAGGGCUUCACACGUCAUACAAUGGUCGGUACAGAGGGUAGCCAAGCCGCGAGGUGGAGCCAAUCUCACAAAACCGAUCGUAGUCCGGAUUGCACUCUGCAACUCGAGUGCAUGAAGUCGGAAUCGCUAGUAAUCGCAGGUCAGCAUACUGCGGUGAAUACGUUCCCGGGUCUUGUACACACCGCCCGUCACACCAUGGGAGUGGGGGAUACCAGAAGUAGGUAGGGUAACCGCAAGGAGCCCGCUUACCACGGUAUGCUUCAUGACUGGGGUGAAGUCGUAACAAGGUAACC
This 729-nucleotide ribosomal RNA is filed under the name uncultured bacterium. Its description in RNAcentral is "bacterial SSU rRNA". It matches the Rfam family "Bacterial small subunit ribosomal RNA", at positions 771 to 1501 of the family's 1533-position model. The record is from RNAcentral.